CCUGGCCACAAUCACCCAAACCCAGACGGCAGCACGAGCCAUGUCUCACCUUGGGAUCUCUCCUGCCACCACCGCCAGAGGAGGGGUCUCGGCUCCACGGAGCCUGGCCCGGCCUUCGGCUUCCACCCUAUAAGGGACCCAAGAGACAAGGUGACACCCACAGUGAGACGCCAUCGACUGGACUCCUCGGGCGGUCGGUGCUGCCCCGCUGGGCUCGAGGAUGGAAAGGCAGGAAGAGAAAGGCCCCGUUUCCUUGCGAGUGGACCUCAGAGUUCCAGACACACAUUAUUCGUCAUCGAUGCCUCAUACGCUGGCAUUGAUCAUCAUCGAUCCAGAAAAGGGGGACCUUCUCUUCCUUCGCGGUCGGCGCUGCCCCGUUGGGCUCGAGGAUGGAAAGGCAGGAAGAGAAAGGCCCCGUUUCCUUGCGAGUGGACCUCAGAGUUCCAGACACACAUUAUUCGUCAUCGAUGCCUCAUACGCUGGCAUUGAUCAUCAUCGAUCCAGAAAAGGGGGACCUUCUCUUCCUUCGCCAUGGCCCGUGGAGUCAGGCAUUCCUCCCCGCACGGCCACUGGGCAACCCAAGGGGCCCGCCCCACCCAACGAGGCCUCGCCAUCCCUCGGGGGGCCUCUAGGACCCGUCCCCUGGCUUUCGGUCUCUCUGGGCCGCGGAGGACCAGCUGGGCCCCUGUGCAGGACGUCCAAGAGACCUUCCUAGCCAGAGCUGUCCCAUCCCUGGGACGCCAGAGCCCUUCUGGACUGCUGGCCUCGCCCGCAUCUGCCGCCCACCCUCCACCAGCCCCUCGCACUGCCCUGCCCAGCCCAGCCCCGACAAGCCCUGGGAUGCUGCUCACACUGGUCCCCUGGCUCCAAAGACAACGCUGCCAUCCUCGCCUGCUCAUCCAGGAAGGAGCCGGCCUUCGGGUCCGGCGGCUGCACACUGAGGAGUACAAAGCCAAGAGGAGGAGACCCAAUGGCACAGCCAUUCUCCAGGCUCGCGGCUUCCACACACACACCUGGCCAUAGCCUGGCAUGCGGCAUACCAUGAGGGUCACCAAGGACCUGGCAAAUGCCUUCACUCCCUUUCUCUCUAGAUUCAGUUCUCUGAUACUGCCGGACGGGUGCUCACAUUUUCCCAUUGGGCUAACACCAGGAAAACGCUGGAAUGCCCGUGCUCUGUCAGUCACCCUCGUCGUUUCCUGACCUCGGCCUAUUGGGUCACUGCUUUGUGGACAUUGAACCAGAUUCUUUCUUCAGUGGACCUCGGAGUUUCAGACAGGUUUUCAUCGUACAGGACGCAUAUGCCACCAGGAGUCAUCUUCAAUCCAAUACUGUCCCUCCUGUGUUCCCUUAGCUUGACCUUCUUUGUUGAUCAAUUUAUUAAAGGGCUGGGUAAGAUAUCAAUACCCUACCUGAACUUCCAGGGGUCCGUGGGAUGGGAAGCGUCUCAUGAUACCUGUCACCAUGGACUGUGCAAUUUGGUCUUGCCUUUACUCCCUCUCCCUUUCGUUUCCUUUUCU
RNAcentral lists this long non-coding RNA (1517 nucleotides) under Sus scrofa (pig). RNAcentral describes it as "lncRNA (ENSSSCG00030003719.1)". The record is from RNAcentral. Lineage: Eukaryota; Metazoa; Chordata; Mammalia; Artiodactyla; Suidae.